This 498-nucleotide ribosomal RNA is filed under the name uncultured bacterium. Its description in RNAcentral is "bacterial SSU rRNA". It matches the Rfam family "Bacterial small subunit ribosomal RNA", at positions 28 to 507 of the family's 1533-position model. The record is from RNAcentral.
GAUGAACGCUGGCGGCGUGCCUAAUACAUGCAAGUCGAGCGAACAGACGAGGAGCUUGCUCCUCUGACGCUAGCGGCGGACGGGUGAGUAACACGUGGAUAACCUACCUAUAAGACUGGGAUAACUUCGGGAAACCGGAGCUAAUACCGGAUAAUAUAUUGAACCGCAUGGUUCAAUAGUGAAAGACGGUUUUGCUGUCACUUAUAGAUGGAUCCGCGCCGCAUUAGCUAGUUGGUAAGGUAACGGCUUACCAAGGCAACGAUGCGUAGCCGACCUGAGAGGGUGAUCGGCCACACUGGAACUGAGACACGGUCCAGACUCCUACGGGAGGCAGCAGUAGGGAAUCUUCCGCAAUGGGCGAAAGCCUGACGGAGCAACGCCGCGUGAGUGAUGAAGGUCUUCGGAUCGUAAAACUCUGUUAUUAGGGAAGAACAAAUGUGUAAGUAACUAUGCACGUCUUGACGGUACCUAAUCAGAAAGCCAACGGCUAACUACGUG